Molecule: non-coding RNA, 407 nt
Organism: Hydra vulgaris (swiftwater hydra)
Lineage: Eukaryota; Metazoa; Cnidaria; Hydrozoa; Anthoathecata; Hydridae
Source: RefSeq, a predicted model, not a curated record
AUUUAGUUGAAUGAUAAAGUUGUUUAUACAAAAGACUGGCUCUUUAAUUUUUAUGUUAAAGUUGUUAUUUCCUUGUUGACUGUUGUCUGUUGUUAAAAAAGCAAGUAAAAAGGUGCACAUAAUGACAACAGAUUUAUCUUUAGAACUGUUUGCAAAACCUUUGGUUUGGAUACAAAAGACUAAGUGAAAAUGAUACUGGAAAGACUGUUUACUCCUGUCCCAAUCUAACCUAGUGGGUUCAAAAAGAAAGGCACGCGCAGGAAACAUAUGGGGGUUAAAAGAAUUAGCCUUUUUUGAAGUAAUAGUUGAACUCGUAACCAGCUCGUAUGAAAGAAUUUCUCGAUGUGAAAUAGUUAAUUUUAUUCAACAACGCCAAGAAACAGAGCUCGCUUAAGAAACAGAAAAGA